RNAcentral lists this unclassified non-coding RNA (214 nucleotides) under uncultured Leucoagaricus. RNAcentral's name for it is "sequence contains ITS2". The record is from RNAcentral. Lineage: Eukaryota; Fungi; Basidiomycota; Agaricomycetes; Agaricales; Agaricaceae.
UAUUAUCAACCUCUCCCGCUUUUGUAGUUGGGUUUGGAGGUUUGGAUAUGGAGGUCUUGCAGGCGCUUUUUGAAGUACCAGCUCCUCUGAAAUACAUUAGCAGAACUGUUUGCAAUCUGUUAACUGGUGUGAUAAUUGUCUACGCUAGUGGAUUGCUCUCUGGAUGUUCAGCUUCUAAUAGUCACCCACUGAGGAGACAACUUGUAAUAUGAAC